This 302-nucleotide long non-coding RNA is filed under the name Mytilus galloprovincialis (Mediterranean mussel). Lineage: Eukaryota; Metazoa; Mollusca; Bivalvia; Mytilida; Mytilidae. The record is from RNAcentral.
CCAUUUUUGUUGAUUGACCGGGUCACCGGACACAUUUUUUAAACUAAAUACCCUAAUGAUGAUUGUGGCCAAGUUUGGUUUAAUUUGGCCCAGUAGUUUCAGAGAAGAAGAUUUUUGUAAAAGAUUACUAAGAUUUACGAAAAAUGGUUAAAAAUUGACUAUAAAGGGCAAUAACUCCUAAAGGGGUCAACUGACCAUUUCAGUCAUGUUGACUUAUUUGUAAAUCUUACUUUGCUGAACAUUAUUCCUGUUAACAGUUUAUCUCUAUCUAUAAUAAUAUUCAAGAUAAUAAGCAAAAACAG